Molecule: ribosomal RNA, 200 nt
Filed under: uncultured bacterium
Lineage: Bacteria
Description: partial 16S ribosomal RNA
Rfam family: Bacterial small subunit ribosomal RNA
Source: RNAcentral
ACGCUCGACACCUACGGGAGGCAGCAGUUGGGAAUAUUGGACAAUGGNGGAAACUCUGAUCCAGUGACGCCGCGUGAAGGAAGAAGGUCUUCGGAUUGUAAACUUAUUUUGUCAGGGAAGAAAAAUGACUGUACCUGAAGAAAAAGACACCGGCUAACUACGUACCAGCAGCCGCGGUAAUCUGAGCGGGCUGGCAAGGC